This is a long non-coding RNA of Zingiber officinale, 283 nucleotides long. RefSeq lists it as uncharacterized. The transcript is spliced from 3 exons. Lineage: Eukaryota; Viridiplantae; Streptophyta; Magnoliopsida; Zingiberales; Zingiberaceae. The record is from RefSeq and is a predicted model, not a curated record.
UGUAUGUUGCUUAUAAUGAUGAGGAAUGGGGAGUUCCAGUUCAUGAUGACAGGAUGUUGUUUGAGUUGCUUGUUCUAACAAGAGCUCAAGUGGGGAUGGACUGGACUACUAUACUGAAGAAGAGGAAUGAAUUCAGGGUGGCAUUUGCUGAAUUUGAUGCAGAGUCUGUCUCCAAGUUCAUAGAGAAGCAGAUGGUUUCCAUCAGUGUGGAACUGAAGCUGGAUUUAGGAAGAGUUAGAGGAAUAUCACUAUCUACUUUGAAACAGAAUUAGUGUUAAUUUUG